AAAAAGCUCGUAGUUGGAUUUCUGUCGAGGAUGACCGGUCCGCACUUUGUGCGUGCAUCUGGUUCAGCCUUGGCAUCCUCCUGGGGAACGUAUCUGCGCUUAAUUGCGUGGUGCGGUAUUCAGGACUUUUACUUUGAGGAAAUUAGAGUGUUCACGGCAGGCAAUCGCCUUGAAUACAUUAGCAUGGAAUAAUAAUAUAGGACCUUGGUCCCAUUUUGUUGGUUUCUGGAACUAAGGUAAUGAUUAAUAGGGACAAUUGGGGGCAUUCGUACUUAACUGUCAGAGGUGAAAUUCUUGGAUUACGUUACGACGAACUACUGCGAAAGCAUUUGCCAAGGAUGUUUUCAUUGAUCAAGAACGAAAGUUCGGGGAUCGAAGAUGAUUAGAUACCAUCGUAG
RNAcentral lists this ribosomal RNA (398 nucleotides) under uncultured marine eukaryote. RNAcentral describes it as "SSU rRNA". It matches the Rfam family "Eukaryotic small subunit ribosomal RNA", at positions 621 to 1023 of the family's 1831-position model. The record is from RNAcentral.